Liolophura sinensis is the source of this 648-nucleotide long non-coding RNA. RefSeq lists it as uncharacterized. The record is from RefSeq and is a predicted model, not a curated record. NCBI's taxonomy places the organism in Eukaryota, Metazoa, Mollusca, Polyplacophora, Chitonida, Chitonidae. The transcript has 4 exons.
AUCUAUUAUGCAUCGUUCCUCGUAGACCACAGUAUAAGAAGUGGACGAUAGUUUAGACAUCUUACCGAAGUUUUGUGCGCUAAAAUUUACGAAUACAGAUUUUGAUAUCUGUCGUAAAAAUGAGCUUAACAAUUCUACCUACGCUAGCUGCAGUGCUGUUCGUCAGUUACAAUCUUGGCGAUGUUCUAGCUUUGAGUGGGCCGAACGUUUGUACACGGGUAGCAGAUAGACGCGUACAGAGGCGGAUCUGUAUGUACCGAUGGUGGUCUAGGUGCAUGUGGUAUCGAACGAUAAGCGUGAGUCAGUACUACGUUCAACAAGAAUGCUGUUUUGGAUGGAGUCAAAGAGGCAAUCACUGCGAUACGCCCAUUUGCAGACCGAAUUGUUUCAACGGAGGAACCUGCAAUUCUCCAAACAAAUGCACCUGCCUUGAUGGCUAUACUGGCGGCCUGUGUGAAAAUCGUAAACCGUGAACUAACUAUGAACUAACUUCAAACUAAUAUCUUGUGGUAACUUGCCUAAGGUCGGUGGUUUAUCCCUAGUUUUCUCACCCUUAAAUCUGCCCACCACCCUAAAAAAUAAAGAUUAUGGAGUUAAAACAGCUAUGAAAUAAACAAAUAAAUUAAAUUAAUCCAUCAGAAGCCUUCA